This 24-nucleotide non-coding RNA is filed under the name Drosophila melanogaster (fruit fly). The record is from RNAcentral. Lineage: Eukaryota; Metazoa; Arthropoda; Insecta; Diptera; Drosophilidae.
UAUUGGACAGCCUCUAUAGUUUGC